This is a long non-coding RNA of Pantherophis guttatus, 2067 nucleotides long. RefSeq lists it as uncharacterized. Lineage: Eukaryota; Metazoa; Chordata; Lepidosauria; Squamata; Colubridae. The record is from RefSeq and is a predicted model, not a curated record.
AGUCUCCAAGGACGGCGCUGUCCAUUCGCCCCGGUGCUGAACUGUGCGCGACCAUUUUGGUAGGUGCUCUCGGGCUGGAGAGCCAUGCCUGGUCAUCAUCGCUGCAUUGAAACGAGAAGCCAGGCACGAUUGGAAACCGCGCUGGCUGCCGCUCACAGCCGCUCAAAUACAACCUAGGGAGAAAUCUCCGAGAGGGAAGCGGAUGGCGAGCAAACCCGAGAGAAGAAGUCGGAAGUUGGCCAGGCCGUGGGAGCCCAGCAGCCUUGCAUGGAUUUGAGAUCACCGCUCGUCGGCGCUUCUCUGUUGGAUUCUCCUCUUCCUCCUUCCUUUCCUACGGGCCACAGGACGUACAGUUGUGGAUUUAUUGCCGCGGUGCGUGCAGCUCCAGCCGCCUCUUCGCCGCUGCCGCCGCCUCUUCUUCUUCCUCCUCCUCCUCUUCCUCCGCCGCCGCCGCCACCAGCAGCAGCUUUCUGACUCUCUUCGGUGACGGGUAUUCUUGGGUGGAUAAUACGGAUUACGUUGUUAUUGCUUAAGAAUACGCGUAGUCGAGGAGAGUACUCGCGGCAGGCGGGGGCGACCGCCCCCCCACCCCCAGUGGUUCCUUAAACGGCUCUAGUUGCCAAGGUAGCGCAUCAUUUUCUCUUCUUUUCUUUUUCUUUUGCUCCUCUUCUUCUCUUUUUGUGGUACCUCGCAACCUCCGGCUGUAUAAGAUCUCUCUCCCCCCACCCGCCACCUCUCAACCGGGGCGGGGUUGUCUCAUUGCAGCUUCCCACUCCAAGACUGCGGAGAAGGGAGGGGGGAAUGCCUGCGAAGUCCUGCCGUUCUGCAUUUGCCUUGUCUACUCGCUUAAUGCGGAUUAUAUCGAACCCCAGAUCAAUGGGUACAAUCAGAGCGGAAUGCUUCCACGCCUUGCCAAGGGGGAAGUCUAAUCUGCGUUAAGCGAUGGGGAGGGUAGAAGCUGGCGGCCACAGCAAUUUGUCUGAGUAAACGAAUGGCAGAGUGGAAGAUGGUGAUUUGAGUAUAUGUGAACCGAAGAUGGAAAUUGAAGUAGAUCUCAGCGAGGACUAGCGGACUAAAGUGUUCCACUGUAAUCUCUAGUUUAAGUAUAUCCUGGUUACCAAACCCCGCUUACUACGAUUAUUCUUGCUCUAUCUCUGUAUUUUGAUUUUGGAUGAGAGAUUUGGGGGAAAGGCAGUGUGUUGGCUGAGAGCAAAGCAUAAGUGAGCGCGGGCGACCUCCUUUGGAUUUUGGCAUCCCUUGUCACCUGUCCAUCUCUAUUUGGUUUAGCCCUGGUGCUUGGGGGCGCCUUCCUGCUUCCCAUCAAAUAAGCUGGAGAUCUGACCAGCUGUUCCCAUACAUUUCUGUUGGGUUUGAGUAAUGGAUCCUAAAUAUAUUAAACUUGGGAGCAAGCCCAAUGGACUUGAAAGGAAGUUAUUAUAUGCCUAGACUCUUGUGUGUUUGCUGAGAAAUAAAGCCAAGUGUAUACACCAACAAGCUUUAUUCAGAAGCUAGGCUGCUUUUCCAAACACAUUUCUUGGGAAGUAAAUCUUGUUGAGUAAGGUGUCCCAGGAAGAAUUGGGGUUGCGGCCGUACUGGAAACAGACCCAUAGCUUAACCACAGACAACCAGCUCUCUUGAGUCAUGGAGCCACAAUCGCUCUUUAGUACGAUUGUGUUUAUAGAUCAACUUCAUUUACUGAGGUGGGGAAGAGGAGUCAUUUGCAUCUUUCGCCUUCCUGGAACACUUAACUUUCAAGUUGAGACUGCAACUUGCUGUGGAAGCAUCUUUCCUUUCUCCGCCGAAAAUGACCAUGUGAAAGGAAGACACAAAGACGCGUGUGAUUGGGGCAAAGGAUCCGGGCUCUCUCCUCCCCCCCCCCACCCACUCCCCGCACUCUGAGCACAGGGCAUGUGCAAGGAGGGGACUCUUAGAAGCCGCUUCUCCCCAAGUUUAUAAGGCGCUUUCAAGAAGGAAAAAAAACAGCAGGGAAAGAUUUAUUCCAAAAUGAAAAAGCAAAGGAAGGCAUUUCCCUUCGUGCCCAGCCUUUCCUGGUGAAAAUAAAUAAUA